UACAUAUGGUGCAAGCGUUAUCCGGAUUUAUUGGGCGUAAAGCGCGCGUAGGCGGUUUGGUAAGUUAGAAGUUAAAUUCCAGGGCUCAACCCUGGUUCGCUUUUAAAACUGCCAAGCUAGAGUUUUGGAGAGGGAAGGGGAACUAACAGAGUAGCGGUGAAAUGCGUAGAUACUGUUAGGAACACCAGUGGCGAAGGCGCCUUCCUGGACAAUAACUGACGUUAAAGUGCGAAAGCGUGGGGAGCAAACAGG
This 252-nucleotide ribosomal RNA is filed under the name uncultured bacterium. RNAcentral's name for it is "partial 16S ribosomal RNA". It matches the Rfam family "Bacterial small subunit ribosomal RNA", at positions 524 to 776 of the family's 1533-position model. The record is from RNAcentral.